This 466-nucleotide ribosomal RNA is filed under the name uncultured bacterium. RNAcentral describes it as "partial 16S ribosomal RNA". It matches the Rfam family "Bacterial small subunit ribosomal RNA", at positions 28 to 505 of the family's 1533-position model. The record is from RNAcentral.
GACGAACGCUGGCGGCGUGCUUAACACAUGCAAGUCGAACGGAAAGGCCCUGCUUUUGUGGGGUGCUCGAGUGGCGAACGGGUGAGUAACACGUGAGUAACCUGCCCUUGACUUUGGGAUAACUUCAGGAAACUGGGGCUAAUACCGGAUAGGAGCUCCUGCUGCAUGGUGGGGGUUGGAAAGUUUCGGCGGUUGGGGAUGGACUCGCGGCUUAUCAGCUUGUUGGUGGGGUAGUGGCUUACCAAGGCUUUGACGGGUAGCCGGCCUGAGAGGGUGACCGGCCACAUUGGGACUGAGGUGCGGACCAGGCACCUAAGGGAGACAGCAGUGGGGAAUAUUGCACAAUGGGCGGAAGCCUGAUGAAGCAACGCCGCGUGGGGGAUGACGGAUUUCGGGAUGAAGACCGCUUUCGCCUGGGACGAAGCGUGAGUGACGGUAAUGGGUAAAGAAGCAACGGCUAACUGCG